Molecule: ribosomal RNA, 439 nt
Filed under: uncultured bacterium
Lineage: Bacteria
Description: partial 16S ribosomal RNA
Rfam family: Bacterial small subunit ribosomal RNA
Source: RNAcentral
CUACGGGUGGCUGCAGUGAGGAAUAUUGCACAAUGGGGGAAACCCUGAUGCAGCAACGCCGCGUGGAGGAUGACGCAUUUCGGUGUGUAAACUCCUUUUAUCAGAGAAGAUAAUGACGGUAUCUGAUGAAUAAGCCCCGGCUAACUCCGUGCCAGCAGCCGCGGUAAUACGGAGGGAGCAAGCGUUACUCGGAAUCACUGGGCGUAAAGGACGCGUAGGCGGGUUGGUCAGUCAGGUGUGAAAUCCAACGGCUUAACCGGUGAACUGCACUUGAAACUACCAACCUAGAGUAUGGAAGGGGCAGAUGGAAUUAGUGGUGUAGGGGUAAAAUCCGUAGAUAUCACUAGGAAUACCGAAAGCGAAAGCGAUCUGCUGGGACAUUACUGACGCUGAGGCGUGAAAGCGUGGGGAGCAAACAGGAUUAGAUACCCUCGUAGUC